UGGGGGGGGGGUGUGAGACAGCAAGGGUGAGCUCACACAUGAUCAUAGCUCAACAAGUUGUGGGGAACCAGUGGACAUAAACUCACAAAGGUGUGAGUUCAUGUGAUGUGUAAGGCUAAUCAAUGAUAGGGGUUAAGGCUGAGCAUUGCUUUUAAGUAGUUGGUCAAACUUUUAUUAGCAAUUACUAAGUGUAAGUAAGUACCAAACCUUAAAUAAAGUAAUAGAACAAAAUUAAUAAUAAACCCAUCAUAUGCAAAUGACAAAAUUGAAUUUAGGUUUCAUAAUUUAAUCAUCAGAGAGUCCUGAGCCGCUCAUGACCGUGAGCUCGGCUAGUAUACCAGUUUUACACUCUGCAGAGGUUGUACCCUUUACCCACAAGUCAUGCUACCCAUCUGCCAAGGGGUCGCGAAUCCCAUACACCUCUACCUAGGAAGCGCGGCAGGGCAACACUACGAGGCCUUUACAAAGUUCCACUAGCUUCCGAAAACCCGCUACAGUUUAUAGGAAGCUCCAAUGCAGGGUUCCUGGCUGACCGCCAUCGCAGCAAAAUCAACCAGGGACCUCCCUACACUGACCACUCCCCUACUGCCCUUGCCCCUUUCGGGUAAGGUAGUCUUCCACUAGCUUUCCUAAUUAGUCAGCCAAGGGCGUCCCAUUAAACCCUUGUGGUGGCACGUGGUUCUCAAGUUAAGCUCUAUGUUCCAAUUAACAUUAAUGAUCUCAACAUGAACAUAAAUAGAAUAACAAAAAGAAUUGGAACAUAGAGGUAAUAAAUGAUUAUCCCAAAACCAUAUAAAGCAAUAGCAAACUACCCAAGUGAUUCAGGGGUAAACAAGGUAAUGAGAUAAACAAAUCUAGGGUGACCUAUUGGGUCCCAUCAAAAUUAACCUAUGCAUGGAUAAGUGAUAUUAAAGAACAUUAUUGGGUAAAAAGUGGUCAAGGGCACAACUUGCCUUCAAUGAGCUCCUGCUCAGCUACCUCAACCUGCUGCUCACCAGGAUCCUCAGCAACGGGUUCUUCUACUCGCCACAAUACAAACAAGCACGGAAUAUAGGGAAAAUUAACAUUACACCAAGCAUAUAAACAAAAUACACAGUAAUAAUCUACACAUUAAAAUAAAAUCCUAGGAACAGGAAUCAUAAUUUUCUGAGUUAUAGAUUUUAAGUUAUGCAUUUUCAAAGGGUUUUAUGUGCUUUAAAUAGGAUUUAGUGAUAAAUAAAUUCCUUACUGUUUUCAUGACAUAACAGAGGCUCUAGGUGAUAGAGAAUUAAAUUACAAAAUUUUAGGAACUGGAAUGGACUAAUUUGGAGUUAGUAUGAAUUUUCUAUGAAUUUACAAAGUUCUAGUAAUUAUUUUCAUAUUAAAUAUUCGAUUUCUAAUUCAUUUAUACACUUUAUCCUGCCACUGGACUAGGCCUCAAUUAAUGUGAAACGCAGGGGGCUCUGCGCAAGAUAUCCUAAGACACAGAGUACAACAGCCAUGGACUGCGGGUUUGUUUAUGUGAAAGCUAAGGGGUUCUUUAGCAAUUUGCACACGCGAAUGGGUAUCUAGGGUUUCUGGCCGCCCGAUCACACACGUGCGGCCCAGAUUAAAUCGAAUCCCGACUACACACCCAGCGGCGCCCGCAAUCAUUGGAUCCCAGAUCCACGGCGCACGGCGCGCGAUGCCCUUCACUCCCUCUCGGCCACACGAUUUUCUUUCAAUGCGCCAGAUUCAAAACGACGAAGGGGUAUCUCUCGUUUUAAUCGCAGCCACACAUCCGAGAUGGACGGCCCCGAGGGCAUCUUCCCCACUGGUUCACAUAGAACGCGGCGGCGCAGACGCCAGGCGCGGCGGCGCCAUGGCCGCGAGGCCCCAAAGCUCUACCCGAACGCACAACUCAGACCCAAAUCGCUCCGCACGGUGCCCUAAACAUGAUAAUUGCAAUGGACAAGCACGUACCUCCUGGCGCGCCGUAGAGAGAUCCGGUCACGGUGAGUGGCGGACCUCCAACUCCGGCGAAAGAUUCCCGUGGCCGCCGUUAACCUUUCUUCGAUUGCGCCCACGCACUGCUUAUACGCGAGCAACUCGAGCUUUGGGUAACCCAAUCGGGGUCUGAAAUGCCCUCCUUGCGGCAGUCAACGGCGGCGGACGAUCCCGCCCCUCUCUCUCUGUUUCCUCUCCAACGGCGACGACGAAUAUGCAGUACGAACCUAGCGAACGCGAGGGCAAGAGUCGGGGAGGAAGGAACGGCUACACCUAUUUAUCCAGGGAGCGCCCGAACGCCGGAUCCGAUCAUCGCGCGCGUGAGCUCAGGAAUUCUGUUACGGCUUGGUUGGGGACGGGUCUGACGAAGCUGGCCCGCGCAUCAGUGACACAAAGCGAGUGGCUGACGUACCGGUCCCACGAUUCAGGCGAGGGUUUCGUAGGUGGUGCAAGACGCACGGAGGCAAGAACGGCUGACCCGUGGGCCCGUGGUGUCGGCGCCAGGUCGCGGGUGAGCGCGAGAGGAACAGGUCUGGGCCGCGCAGGUGGUAAAGGAAAGUUGGGCCGAAUUCUGGUUCGUCGGCCCAUCCAGGUAUGAUAUUCUUUCUCUUUUAUUUCCUCUUUCUCUAUUUUCAUAAAUUCAAAUUUAGAUCCUAAUUUAAAUUCAAACUUGUGACACAUUUAUCUUCAAGUUAUAUUGUGACCUUAAGGUACUAAUUUUGGAAAUAUAUAUAAACUUUCUUUAUAUUUUAUAUAUCUUCUCUUUUUCAAAUUCUACAAUUCCUUUUGGAUUUUAGAUUCCACUUUGGACUUUAAUAUUUUUCUUGUCACAUUUAUUAUUUUAUUUUGUCACCAUGUGCACACAAAAGAAAAUCCCAGUAUGAUGCAAAAUUUUAAUGGCAUAUAUUCUUUUUUUAUUAAUUAUUUGCUUUUGAAUAUGGUGUUCACAUGUGAUGAUAAGUAAAUUCAACACACACAUAAAAUAUAGGAAAUGUCUUUUCUCCUCUUUUACUAUAUAUAUUACAAAUUGGGUGUUACAAAUCCUACCCCCCUUAAAAAUAAUCUCGUCCUCGAGAUUUAAGAAGAUCUAGGGAAAAGGUGGGGAAAAUCUAUGCGAAGCUCUUCUUCUCUUUCCCAAGUUGCUUCAUCUUCACCGUGGUGACUCCAUUGGACUUUGCACAUCUUAAUCACCUUAUUUCUUGUAACUCGAGUCAAUGUGUCAAGAAUCUUGAUCGGAUACUCCGUGUAAGUCAAAUCACCCUGAACACUGAGCUCUUCCAUUGAUAACUGUUCCUCAGGGACACGGAGACAUUUCCUCAGUUGAGAUACAUGGAACACAUUAUGCACAUCCGAUAGACUAGCAGGAAGCUCGAGUUGGUAUGCCAUCUCCCCAACUCUCCUAAAGAUCAAGAAUGGUCCAAUGUAGCGAGGGGACAAUUUGCCCUUAACUUUGAAUCUCCUCAUUCCACGAAGUGGUGACACCUUGAGGUACACAUAAUCUCCUUCUUCAAAUUCCAGUGGUCUUCUUCUAUUAUCAGCAAAGCUCUUUUGCUUGGUUUGAACUACCAUCAAAUUCUCUCGAAUUAGACGAACUUGUUCUUCUGCUUCUUAAAUCCGUUCAGGCCCAAAGAACUGUCUUUCUCCAGUCUGAUCCCAAUACAAAGGAGUUCUGCACUUUCUCCCGUAUAAAGCUUCAAAAGGUGACAUCUUCAGACUGGCCUGAUAACUAUUAUUAUAUGAGAACUCAGCAUAAGGCAAACUUUUAUCCCAACUUCCUCCAUGCUGAAGGGAACAAGCUCUCAACAUAUCUUCCAAUACUUGAUUAGUCCUUUCAGUUUGUCCAUCAGUCUAAGGGUGAUAAGCUGUACUAAAAUUCAACUUCGUAUUCAUAUUCUCAUGAAAGCUUCUCCAAAAUCUUGAGGUAAACUGUGAACCUCGAUCAGACACGAUCUUCUUUGGUACUCCAUGUAAACACACAAUCCGAGCCAUAUAUAACUCUGCUAGCUGAGAACCUUUAUAUGUAGUCUUUACAGGAAUAAAGUGAGCCACUUUAGUCAAUCUAUCCACAAUCACCCAUAUAGCAUCAUAUCCUUUCUGGGUGCGAGGCAAUCCAGUAAUACAAUCCAUACCAAUCUCUUCCCACUUCCACUCGGGUAUCUUCAGUGGGUGUAAUAGUCCAGCUGGCCUCUGGUGUUCAGCCUUAACUCUUUGACAUACAUUGCACAUAAUCACAUGUGCAGCCACAUCUCUCUUCAAUCCAUACCACCAAUACUUUUGCUUCAAAUCCUGAUACAUCUUAGUACUCCCAGGAUGAAUAGAAUAAACUGAAUCAUGUGCCUCCUUCAAGAUGGUUUCCCGAAGACUAUCGAUAUCGGGAACGCAGAUCCGAUUCUUGAACCAUAUAGUGCCUUGAUCAUCUUCCGUGAAUUCCGGACCUCGACCUUUAGUAAUCAGAUCAUUAAUCUCUUGUAUCUUAGCAUCGCCAAUUUGUCCUUUGCGGAUUUCUUGCUCCAAAGUAGAUUCCACAUCAAUAGUAACUCCUUCAGUGUGAGCAACUAUCCCCAGGUUAAGUCUCCUAAAAUCCUCAAUAAUCUCAUCGAGUAGCUGGGCAACAACAGCUGAAUGAACAUGCUCCUUUCGACUCAAGGCAUCUACAACCAAAUUUGCCUUGCCCGGGUGAUAGUGAAUCUCCAAAUCAUAAUCCUUAAUAAGCUCCAACCAACGGCGUUGCCUAAGGUUGAGAUCCUUCUGAGUGAAUAUAUACUUCAAACUCUUAUGAUCCGUAUAUACUUGGCACUUGGUCCCCAUGAUAUAGUGUCUCCAAAUCUUAAGCGCAUGCACAACGGCUGCCAAUUCCAAGUCAUGAGUGGGGUAGUUCAAUUCAUGUUUCCGUAACUGACGAGACGCAUAGGCAAUCACAUGUCCUUCUUGCAUAAGCACACAUCCUAAGCCUUGGCCACAUGCAUCACAAUAGAUAUCAAAUCCUUUCUGUAGGUCGGGCAUAACCAAUACUGGUGGCGACAUCAAUCUUUUCUUCAAUUGAUCAAAGCUGUCUUGACAAUUCUCGUCCCACUUAAAUUCUCUUCCUUUCUCCAAAAGCGAAGUCAUAGGCUUAGCAAUCUUAGAAAAUCCUUCAAUAAAUCUCCGAUAAUAUCCUGCUAAUCCCAAGAAACUCCGAAUCUCAGUAACUGUAGUGGGUACUCUCCACUCCAUUAUCUCCUUAACUUUAGCAGGAUCCACUGAAAUUCCUCCAUUAGAAAUAAUAUGACCAAGAAAUGGCACCUCGCCAAUCCAAAACUCGCACUUGCUAAACUUGGCAUAUAGCUGGUUAUCUCGUAGCUUCUGUAGCACCAAUCUCAGAUGUUCCUCAUGAUCGCUAUCACUCUGGGAAUAAAUAAGAAUGUCGUCGAUGAACACCACGACGAAUCUAUCCAAGUACUCCAUAAACACCUUAUUCAUCAAGUUCAUAAAAUAAGCUGGUGCAUUGGUUAAUCCAAACGACAUAAUCGUAAACUCAUAUAAUCCAUAUCGAGUCGAGAAAGCUGUCUUGGGAAUAUCCGAUGGUCUAAUCCUCAUCUGAUGGUAACCGGAUCGGAGAUCAAUCUUCGAGAAUACUCUAGCACCUCUCAUCUGAUCAAAUAGAUCCUCAAUACGGGGCAACGGAUACUUGUUCUUCACAGUGACAUCAUUAAGAGAUCUAUAAUCCACACACAUCCGCUGUGAUCCAUCCUUCUUCUGUACAAACAGAACCGGUGCUCCCCAAGGUGAGGAACUCGGACGAAUGUACCCAACCUCUUGCAACUCCGUUAAGUGCUUCCUGAGUUCUUUUAAUUCUUCUACAGACAUCCUAUAUGUCCAUUUAGAAAUAGGAGCAGUUCCAGGUAAGAGAUCUAUGACAAACUCAACUUCCGUAUCUGGUGUCAUCCCUGGUAACUCCUCUGGGAAGACAUCCGGAAAAUCCUUAACCACACGGAUGUUGUCACCAACAAACUUCCCAUCGACUAAGAAUGCUGCUAGUUUGGUGGCGGUAGUUACUGCAAUUCCAACUUCAAAUCCUUCUCCUUUGGAACUGGUGAGUUCUAUGGUUCCUUUAGCACCAGUGUAUAAACUGCCUUUACCUUUCUUAACCACGACAUACCAAGGAUCACGUCUAUAGUGCUCUCUUCUAACACUAUAGGGGUAGCCCAUCUGGGUUAGAAAUACAGGGUAAGAAAGGAAGAAUUGUAGACAAGGCGGGUAAUUACGAGAAAUGUUACUGCGAGGGAUUUAUUAGCUCAGUAGAUUAGUGUGUCACCUACUAAAGCUAAUACAAUACCUUAUAGUGGUACAUGCUAAGAUGCUCAUCUAUACUAUUUCAAUCAAUCAAAGAAGCAAAUCAGGCAUUGAUCAUCAGAACAAUCAACCAACAUUUUUAAAUAGAGAAAAUAGUUUUGAUUUUUGUCUUAGGUUCCCUAUCUCUUAAAAAUGUCAUAAGGGUAGGGAUUCCAAGGUGUGAAAUCCAUCUUGUCUUAGAGUAGAAAAGGUAAGAAUGAUCAGAGUAGAACAGUAGAAGGUGAGACAAGAUCAAGAUGAGAUGAGUAUAGAAUGAGUCAGAGUAAGGUAAGUAGGAGAGGGUCUAUCCAUUUCUAUCUAGGUUUCGUCCUACAGUCAACAUUUCCUCUGAUACCACUUCUGUCACACCCGGCUUUAAGGAACAAAGCCAGGUGCAUCUCAUACAUGCGCCAAGAAGACAACAUAUAUAAUAACAGAGUGUAUAGAGAUAAAUGUCACAAAACAUCAGAGUAUUUAUUACAUAGCGGAAGACUUAUUACAAAAUAAAAGUGUAAACAUAAAACGAACUAAGGAUCGUCGGCGCCAAUGUCGACUGAGAAACGCCACCUAGAUCAGAUCAUACUCCUCGCCAUGUGGCUCCUCCUGAACCACCUGCUCUUCUCCUGUGGGGGGGUGUGAGACAGCAAGGGUGAGCUCACACAUGAUCAUAGCUCAACAAGUUGUGGGGAACCAGUGGACAUAAACUCACAAAGGUGUGAGUUCAUGUGAUGUGUAAGGCUAAUCAAUGAUAGGGGUUAAGGCUGAGCAUUGCUUUUAAGUAGUUGGUCAAACUUUUAUUAGCAAUUACUAAGUGUAAGUAAGUACCAAACCUUAAAUAAAGUAAUAGAACAAAAUUAAUAA
Molecule: long non-coding RNA, 7137 nt
Filed under: Zea mays
Lineage: Eukaryota; Viridiplantae; Streptophyta; Magnoliopsida; Poales; Poaceae
Description: long non-coding RNA (ZMAY_LNC005698)
Source: RNAcentral